GACGAACGCUGGCGGUGUGCUUAACACAUGCAAGUCGAGCGGUAAGGCCCUUUCGGGGGUACACGAGCGGCGAACGGGUGAGUAACACGUGGGUGACCUGCCCUCAGCUCUGGGAUAAGCCUGGGAAACUGGGUCUAAUACUGGAUAUGACUCCACGGUGCAUGUCGUGGGGUGGAAAGCCUUGUGCGGCUGAGGAUGGGCCCGCGGCCUAUCAGCUUGUUGGUGGGGNGAUGGCCUACCAAGGCGACGACGGGUGGCCGGCCUGAGAGGGCGACCGGCCACACUGGGACUGAGACACGGCCCAGACUCCUACGGGAGGCAGCAGUGGGGAAUCUUGCGCAAUGGGCGAAAGCCUGACGCAGCGACGCCGCGU
RNAcentral lists this ribosomal RNA (373 nucleotides) under uncultured bacterium. Its description in RNAcentral is "bacterial SSU rRNA". It matches the Rfam family "Bacterial small subunit ribosomal RNA", at positions 28 to 402 of the family's 1533-position model. The record is from RNAcentral.